Molecule: long non-coding RNA, 2238 nt
Organism: Spinacia oleracea (spinach)
Lineage: Eukaryota; Viridiplantae; Streptophyta; Magnoliopsida; Caryophyllales; Amaranthaceae
Exons: 7
Source: RefSeq, a predicted model, not a curated record
CCAACUAUAAAAAACUUCUCAAAUUCUUUUUCCAAAAACCGGAAAAAACAAAGUUAGAAAUUCUGCUACAUUUCACUCUUAAAUUUAGCCAAUUUCUAUUUGAAGUGAUUUUCAUCAAAUCUAUAUUCAAAAAUUGAAACCCUAAAAAUCGAAAUGGGAAGAUCUAUUGUGUAACUAAUCCGAUGCAACAAGUUCUAUUGUAGGAGAUGAUUUUCCAUUGAAGAAUUUGUUGCAAUCAAAACCAAAGAAGUCGAAGUAACAACAUACUACACCAAAUAUUGAUGCGGAGUUGUUGGAAAGUAUAAACAAAGAAAGUGCAGAAACUGGAACACAAGAGGAAGAAAACGAUCUUGAAAAACAAAAGAAAGAACUGCAAGAGCAACAGAAGAUGGUGGAAGGGCUUCAAAAGAAGUUGAUAUAACAUGAGAGGAAGCUGGAGAUAAUAGAACAAAAGCAGAUUGCUGAAACAAAUUGGAAGAUAAAGAACAAAAGAAUGCAGUGGAAGAUCCUGCGAAGCAGGAAGGAAAGGAGAAACCCGAGGAAGAGCAUAACAUAACAAAAGAACAUACUGAAGAUGGAAGAAUAGAGGAAGAGGUAAAAGUUCCUGAGAAGCAGGAUGAACCUGAAAAGAAAGAAGAAGCCGGUGAAAAAAAUACGGCAAUAGAAGUUGAGAAUCAACCUGAAAAAAAGGAAGUUAACUUUUACCCUGAGAGAGAAGAAAGACGGACAAGAAGGUGGUGAAGUACCUCAAAGUGAGGUGGAAGUACAUCAAAAAACAAAGGGGAAAUCAAAGAAAACAAUACCAAAUAGGAAAAGAACAAGAUCUCAAACGUGGAAGGAAGAAUUUCCUGAGCUUAUCCACAGCGUGAAGGAGGAAUUUGAAGCUGAAGAGAGGAAGAAGGCCUCAUUACCUGAAGAAAGUUCACAUAGGGGCCAAAAAAACAAAAAAAGGAAAAAAUGUCAUCAUUGAGGACCAUGAAAAAGUUGACGAGGAAGAACAACUUGCCCCAGUUGGUAAGAAGGGGAAGGGAGUUUCUUUGAAAAAGACCACCGCCUCAACUAAGGUGAACUUCAAAUAUAUUUUUUCUCUUUCUAUAUUCUUUAUUUACCUCUAUGUUGUUUUAUAAUGUAAACAAAGAUCAUUAUAUAAGAAUGUUCUUUUGUUUCUCUCUAAUGUACUUUAUACCUUAUUUAUGUUCUUUUUCCUUCAGAGUGGUAGGAAAAAAAAUCAGAUCGUUGUUUAUUCUGAUUAUGAAGACGAGGAAGCUUCACUACUACAAAAUAGGGAAUAGAAAGCGCUGAAUAGAGAACGGUUAUGUUUGUUAAGCGUUGUCUAGGGAUAUAGAGAACGCAUUUCUCUUAUAACUGUUGUAUGAGAAAAAGAAUAGAGUAUUAUUGUCUUACCUAACUGUCUUAUAUUCUUUACCAUAAUUUAAAAAAAAGUUAUCAAAUUUAAAUUUUUUGAAUAAAAUAUAAAGUUGUAUUAAAGAUACCCUCUUUGUAUUCUUUUACAACAAAAAAUAAACUUUAAUUUAAAAAUCUGCGUUUAAUUUUUUUCCAAAAUCAAUAGCUCACUUAACAAACUCAAACAAUUUUUUUAAAAAGAAAAAAAGUACCAAAACAAGAUUUUAUGAGUUAGGCGGCAGAUCCGCAUAAUCCCUCAAGAAAACCCUGUUCUUAUCAAAGAUGGUAGUGCAGGGCAUGGUUGAUACUCACAAGCAGGGCCGCAGGGAGUAAGAGAGAGGAAAAGGGGGAAAAAGAAAACAAAAGAAGUAAGGGAUGGUUGAACUCUUCAUGCGAGUGUUUCUACUUAUUCAGGUCCAGAAUCAAGACUGUUUAACACAUCAGAAUAUUUGAGGCCAAGGAAGAAGAUUAAGUAGAGCGACCAGUUCUUUUGAAGCUGAUGUUCCGGCAACGAUUUCCAUGAAGUUGAUGUUCGGAAGAAUUGAAGUUGUUUUACUAUGCUGGCAACACUAGUUUGGUUAAAGCUCAUGGUUCACUGGGUGGGCAGUAGGUUAGUUGUACUAGGUUACAAGUUAAAGGGUAUGGAAUAUGGUGUAGGUAUAAAGGGUAUGAAGUAUAUGGUGCAAUACGUUAUUGUAGGUUUAUUUAGUCUUUGUUUUAGUAGAAAUACCUUUUUUUUAAGGGAAUUUAAUCAGUAUCAUUAUGAAGGUUGCAGCUUGUACAAACGUUAUUUGUUGAUUUAUAUAUUUAAUGCUCAUUUAUCCAAUAAAAUAA